GAUGAACGCUGGCGGCGUGCCUAAUACAUGCAAGUCGAGCGAACAGACGAGGAGCUUGCUCCUCUGACGUUAGCGGCGGACGGGUGAGUAACACGUGGAUAACCUACCUAUAAGACUGGGAUAACUUCGGGAAACCGGAUCUAAUACCGGAUAAUAUAUUGAACCGCAUGGUUCAAUAGUGAAAGACGGUUUUGCUGUCACUUAUAGAUGGAUCCGCGCCGCAUUAGCUAGUUGGUAAGGUAAAGGCUUACCAAGGCAACGAUGCGUAGCCGACCUGAGAGGGUGAUCGGCCACACUGGAACUGAGACACGGUCCAGACUCCUACGGGAGGCAGCAGUAGGGAAUCUUCCGCAAUGGGCGAAAGCCUGACGGAGCAACGCCGCGUGAGUGAUGAAGGUCUUCGGAUCGUAAAACUCUGUUAUUAGGGAAGAACAAAUGUGUAAGUAACUAUGCACGUCUUGACGGUACCUAAUCAGAAAGCCACGGCUAACUACGUG
RNAcentral lists this ribosomal RNA (497 nucleotides) under uncultured bacterium. RNAcentral's name for it is "partial 16S ribosomal RNA". It matches the Rfam family "Bacterial small subunit ribosomal RNA", at positions 28 to 507 of the family's 1533-position model. The record is from RNAcentral.